CGUGAGGAACCUGCCUUCCAGAGGGGGGACAACAGUUGGAAACGACUGCUAAUACCGCAUGAUGCAUUGAAGUCGCAUGGCUUUGAUGUCAAAGAUUUAUCGCUGGAAGAUGGCCUCGCGUCUGAUUAGCUAGUUGGUGAGGUAACGGCCCACCAAGGCGACGAUCAGUAGCCGGACUGAGAGGUUGGCCGGCCACAUUGGGACUGAGAUACGGCCCAGACUCCUACGGGAGGCAGCAG
Molecule: ribosomal RNA, 239 nt
Filed under: uncultured bacterium
Lineage: Bacteria
Description: partial 16S ribosomal RNA
Rfam family: Bacterial small subunit ribosomal RNA
Source: RNAcentral